RNAcentral lists this ribosomal RNA (468 nucleotides) under uncultured bacterium. RNAcentral's name for it is "partial 16S ribosomal RNA". It matches the Rfam family "Bacterial small subunit ribosomal RNA", at positions 28 to 507 of the family's 1533-position model. The record is from RNAcentral.
GACGAACGCUGGCGGCGUGCUUAACACAUGCAAGUCGAACGGAAAGGCCCUGCUUUUGUGGGGUGCUCGAGUGGCGAACGGGUGAGUAACACGUGAGUAACCUGCCCUUGACUUUGGGAUAACUUCAGGAAACUGGGGCUAAUACCGGAUAGGAGCUCCUGCUGCAUGGUGGGGGUUGGAAAGUUUCGGCGGUUGGGGAUGGACUCGCGGCUUAUCAGCUUGUUGGUGGGGUAGUGGCCUACCAAGGCUUUGACGGGUAGCCGGCCUGAGAGGGUGACCGGCCACAUUGGGACUGAGAUACGGCCCAGACUCCUACGGGAGGCAGCAGUGGGGAAUAUUGCACAAUGGGCGGAAGCCUGAUGCAGCAAUGCCGCGUGCGGGAUGAAGGCCUUCGGGUUGUAAACCGCUUUCGCCUGUGACGAAGCGUGAGUGACGGUAAUGGGUAAAGAAGCACCGGCUAACUACGUG